CCUGUUGUUGUUCCAGCAUGGUCGGCGGAUCCUAUGGUAUAUAAGCUGGCAGCCUUUCGAGCUAUGAGUGUGGGAGCGUUCACACACAUAGCAGCAUGGGCUGGUGGGGAGAGCGAGCAUGGAUGCAUCCAUCGGCUGGGAUCUGAGUAUGGCUGCUCCUGUGCGGCUGUGGAAGGUGUAUGGAGGGGGCAGUUGGGAACAUGGCAGGGGGCUUGCCAUGAAGGGGAGCGGGUUUCGAGCCCUGCACUGCAGGGGACCGCAGUUGUGCGGCUCACAUAUGAUGGGGGCAUUGUUGACAUUGUAUCUAAGGC
This 311-nucleotide long non-coding RNA is filed under the name Androctonus crassicauda. The record is from RNAcentral. Lineage: Eukaryota; Metazoa; Arthropoda; Arachnida; Scorpiones; Buthidae.